AGAGUAUAUCAGAAGGAAUCAACUAGACGCUGGAUUUCCUCUUUUUGAAACUGAGUCUCUGAAGUGGCCCGGUUUUGUUGAAUUUGAUGAUGUCAACGGCAAAGUUUUGACCUAUUCAGCCCAGGAUGGUAUCUACAAAGUCUUCGAUCUGAGAAACUACAACUAUUUGUACUCAAUAUCCGAUAAAAACAUCCAGGAAAUUAAAAUCAGUCCGGGAAUCAUGCUGUUAAUAUUCAACCGAACUCAGAGUUCUGUUCCGCUGAAGAUACUCUCUAUUGAAGAUGGGAUAGAGUU
Molecule: unclassified non-coding RNA, 294 nt
Filed under: Hevea brasiliensis (rubber tree)
Lineage: Eukaryota; Viridiplantae; Streptophyta; Magnoliopsida; Malpighiales; Euphorbiaceae
Source: RNAcentral